Molecule: long non-coding RNA, 773 nt
Organism: Asparagus officinalis (garden asparagus)
Lineage: Eukaryota; Viridiplantae; Streptophyta; Magnoliopsida; Asparagales; Asparagaceae
Exons: 3
Source: RefSeq, a predicted model, not a curated record
GAAUGAACGAAUGAGAGAGAGAGAGAGGGAAGAGGCCAAAACGAAGAGCUGAAAGGGGCUUUUCACCUUCCAAGCGUCCGAAACAACCCUGCAAACAAGCCAAUCUCUCUCUAAAAAAAACUCACCUCUCUCUCUCUCUCUCUCUCUCUGAAAAAUUUUAACUUAUUUUAGAGAGAGGGGGGGAGAGAGAGAGGGGGGGACGUCAUUCUUUCUCCUGUGUCCCAAAGCAAGAGGACCCUUCUCCUUCUCCCCCUCCUCAAUGGACCCAUACGCCCCUACCCCACAACCUCCAUCCUCCAUGAGGCCGAGGGCAUUCUCGUCAAUGUAGCCUCUGAACAUCGCAUUGUAGCUUAGAAAGGCAGACAGAAUGGAGCCAGGCAAUGGAAACAGCAACGGAGGAGGAAGAGUAGAGGUAAAAAUAUAACUCGAGUAUGGAAAUAUCAGGCAUAGUUACGCGUACACAAUUGAUGUUUGUAGGUGUUUUUGGCAUGUAUACAAUGCUUAGCCCCCAUUGCGGACGGUACAUUGUUAAUGGCUAGAAGCAGGGUUAGGUGUACCCUUCGCAUGUCAUAUCUUGGAAAAUUCUCUCCUCACUUGGUGCCACCUAAAAUUCUAGCAUUCUGAUCACCAUGAAUCUUUUGCCAUAUUGUUCUAAUUUUUCUUCUGCACAGUUUGGCCGUUCAAAAUUUUUUUGUUUACUUGAUUGAUAGGUCUCUAACCAGUUGUGUUAUUUGAUUCCAUUUGGAUAUAUCUACUAUUUUUCCUGCAUUAAA